Non-coding RNA from Xyrichtys novacula (pearly razorfish), 6980 nucleotides. The record is from the annotation of a GenBank genome assembly. NCBI's taxonomy places the organism in Eukaryota, Metazoa, Chordata, Actinopteri, Labriformes, Labridae.
GUUGACAACUGCAGAGGGAGAGACAAAGAAGAGAGAGGCGAGGAGGGGGGGUGAGGGAGAAGACGAGGAGACGGGCAGUAUAAUGAGAGGAGAGACAGCAGGAGAGCUCGUGAUGACGGCCUGGAGGACACGCUUCGUGGUGACAGUGUUGUUGGCGUGCAGCUCGGUAUUUAUUCCCUUCUCUGCGUCAUUCUGUGUUGUACUUUUUCACAAUGAAUGAACGAAAAUGUGAUGCCCUCUGAUUGAACGGCGGAUUUUUGUUAAGAACAUGACACAACGAGGUUUGAUACUGUUGUAAAAGAAAAAACAGCAGGCCAGUUCUUAUUAUUUAAAGAUGCACACAAAAACAGUUUUGGCCUGAAUAGUUCAUUUGUUAUGUAAAAACACUAAAGGGGUAGUACACUUUUUUUAAUCACUUAUCUGUCUUGGAGAUCAUAAGACUGUGUGUUACAAAAAGAUUCAUAAAAUAAAGGGCGCAGUAUGGUUUUUCAGUGUUGUGUCCAUAGACUAUAUACAGUAUAUGAUGGACAACUUGGCUCCGCCUUCUGUCAUUAUACGAAUUUGAAGCCGAAUUGCUCUCGCCAUUACCAGGAUUUUCUCCAUUUCCUAGGACCACCACUUGCACAGUAGCGUUGGACUAGGGUGACCGUAUUCUGAAUCUCCUAAUAAAGGGACACAACUAUACAGGGGGCAGAGUCACAUGUCGUUAAUUUUGAGAUUUUUUCGGGUCAGAUCGAGUGUCUUUUACGCGCUUCUAACACAGAAAGUCCACGCAACACAAACUCAAAACUUCCAUACAAAACCCUACACAUUUGAAGUAUUUUAUAAACUCCCCUGGACAGCACCAGACAAGGCCGGGCAGCCCCCUAAAAAGAGGACAUGUUAGGGUAAAAGAGGACAUUCGGCGUAAGCGGGAUUUGUGACCUAUACUGCAGCCUGUCACCAGAGGGUGCUGUUCUUGCGUUGGCUUCACCUGGCCAGGAAGCAGACAGUGUGCAUUCUUUAUACAGCAGGGCUGCCAAGUUUCAGAAAAUAUUAAGAGUGAGUCUUUUUUAAUGUUGAUUUAUACCUUGAAACUUGUGUCCUAGUUACAUACCACCCGCCUUCAGGAGAGCAGGUGUACGUCAAGUGGGUUUUAAAUGUCAGCGCUGUUGUAUGUCAAAGAUAGUUAAAGACACAAAGACCUGCCUUACGUUGCCCCUGAUUGGUUUAUAUUGUGUGGUGCCUUUCAUGGUUGGUUAGAUCUAGGCACAAAGGAUUGAUGGAUUGUUCUGUGAUUGGUUAUCUCGGUCAGUCAAUCAGGGUGACUCGAACUACGGCAAGCCAAGUUUAUUAUCAUGAAAAAAAUAAAUACACAGUAUUGAAUGGGGAAAAAUAAGCGUGAGAAAUGUCAAGUGUGGCGUGUGGUGUGAGAAUGGGUCAAAUUACAUGACAUAGUUUACUAAAAAACGCCUCCAGUGACGUCACUCCACUGCAAAAUCUCUAAUCUCUUAUUUUGUCUCCUUUGUUUUCCGAGAUCCAUAGAUAAUACUUUUUUCUAUCUGUGUAAAGUCGACCAACUUGUACGCAAAAAUAAGGUGAAUAGAGCACAAUUUUACUGAGUGAUUUCGGUUGGCUGGUGCAUUUUUGGACUUUUACAAAAAGGCUGAUUAAAAUUAAUGUGCGAUUUUGUGCACCAGAUGUGGAAAGUAAUUCCAAGUGAGCCGAAAAAAGAAAGACAAAUUGCCCUCAAAAAAAGCAGACUAUUGGGUAAAAGCCUUUACAUGUGUUCCCAGACAACCGCGAGAGAUGAAAGUAUCCAAAAAAUGAAAGAGCACAAAGCAGAUUUUAGAAAAUGCCUUUUUGUGAAGUUAGAGAUUUGAUUUUCUUCUUUAGUGCUAAGCUAAGCUAAUCAUCUCCUCUUUGUCCCCCGAAGUUCAGAGUGAGAUAUAAAGCAAGAGCCGCUGUUUAGGAUUUCACUCCAGUGUGCUCUGAGGCCUCCUGGAGUACCAGUCCAUUAUUGAAUCUUAAUGAGCACACAACAUAAAGGUGAAGAUGUUCAGGGAAAGAGCCAACCUUAAAUAAAAGUGUCACCCAGACCUAACAUGUUACCUUUUGGAACAAUAAGUGAAAUAAUGAAUCAUCCCAAAGUGGUGUAACUCCAUUUUAUAUCCAUUAACAGAGUCCUUCCCUAGCCAGAGACUCCAUAUCAAUUUAUUGGAUUGUUUAAUGUAAUCAUGCAUAAUGCAGAAGGAUUAAUUGGAAAUGGCUGCACCAAGAAGGGACCAAUGCAUUAGGGAGCUACUUAGAAUCAAAAGAGGAUUUGUUAAAUGGUCCUUCGGUCUUGAGAUACAGGCAAAUUAAUUCAAUGGUGGAUGGGAGAAACACUUUUUGGAGAGUGCAUUACCUUAUUAGAAGAUGAAUAGCUCAGCUGUUUCCUGUUGCCCAGAAAUGAAAGGAAGGAAAGUAGUUCAAGGUGUUUGGGGAGACCAAAGCAGAUACUUUAAUUACACCAGUGUUUUGCUUGUUUUUUUCCCUUGUUGGUGAGAAAAUAAUCUAAAAUCAUAAAUAUAAAAUUACUUAAACUUUUGUUGUUGUGAUAUGUGAUGAAAAAAAUCUGGUUGUAUGCAGAAAAUAAGAAAUAAACACAAUGCAGUGUAUAUUUAUGGUGAUUACACCCCCUCUCUUGGCCACUUUACUGGGUUUGAAACGACCUAUGGCCCGGUACCGGUCUGUGGGACCCCUAACACAAAGAGUAUAUGAGCCAAUCUGGGACACCUGCAGCAGAUGCCAACUUAUGAUUCAAUUUAUGUCUCGCUGCUAUUAUAAAGCAGUGGUUAUCUGACAUUGCUGUUUAUACCGACAUUAUGCAGCAUAUGGCUCAAUAAGGACCGUAUCAUCUGAGCUAUAAUGCUGUUUAAUGUCUCUAUCAUUUCAAAUGCACCUCCUGUGGGAACAUUAGCUGGUUAUCUCUUUUUUAAGCGACAUUAUAUGUCUGACCUUUGUGUUUUAUUUAUUCCAUUAUCGCAACACAACAAGCAGACGAACACGGUGUAUAUGUAUCCGCCAUGAAACCCAGGAUAACAAAAGUGGCUCAGGAAAAGCCACAAUUUCUGUCAUCAGUCUCUCCCUGUGUCAUUCUUCCUGUACUUUUCUGUGUCUGGCCUUUUUCGUCCAAGUUUACCAGGAAAUGCCAUUCCCCCAAACUAUCAUCACCAUCAUUCUGGCUGCAGCCAACGUAAUGACUUGACCUCUCAUUAGUUGAAGUCCAUUUGCCGAGUGAUGUAGCAGCUCUGGCCUAAAUAAGGUCGAUCCAUUCUUAACACUGUAUUCAGGUCGGCUUGUUUUGUUCACGGUUGAAACCUAAAGCUGUGUCUGUGGAUGUACAGAAAGCAUCUUUACAAUAUUACAGUGGAACUAAGUGGAAAACACGGGACAGGGGGAGUAUGCUUAACAGUACCCAGAGCAGAGUGAUACAGAAGGCUAUUAUUUGCAAGUGAAAUUGGGCAUAUCUGUGCGAUUUUUACAAGAAAAAUUAUGGAGAAAUUAAUGACACGGGUUAUAGCCAUAAAGAUUAAAACAAAAGCCUGAGCCACAAAGAAGGAAUCUGAUUACAGUGAUUAAUUUGAGAGAUUCAGGGGUGAGGUGCAUAAUAAUUUGGGGUUAAUCACUUUGAGCAUUUAUUACAGAGAGUCAGCGGGAUGAAAACCACAAAUUUUUAAAAUGAAUUGUGGAUGGAUUUUCAUUUUGCUCUAAGUCUCUUGCCAAAAACAUGUUUGAGCAGAGCUACAAAAUACCCUUAUGCCCUUAACUUGGCAAAGGUCGGAGUUGUCAUGCAUGUUCUGGAAGUGCUUCAUUACUGUGAUUAUACUCUUCACGUAAAGCUAACACAGCUGUGCUCAGAAAAUGAAUCUUUGAAAUCCAAUCACAGUGCUCAAGAUGAUGCACAAUGUUGUUUUACAAGAGGGGCUACAUGGACCUUGGUAGGGGUGGGAGAAAAAAUCGAUAGUAUUGUGAUAUUUUGUCUGGUGAUAUUGUAUCACCUCAGUAACCAAGUACUGAUUUUUUCAAAUUAAUUGCUAAUAUGAAGCCAAAUCUAUGAUAAUGGAAAAAUAAAAUCAACUUGUUGUCCAGUGAGGUUGGCAGAGGUGAUACCAUAGAGGAGGAGAAAGUUAGUACAACAAAUAUACUGUAUAUAUAAGGUUUGGAAGAUGUGCUACAUGGAAAUAAAAUACUACAUAACAUAAAGGAAAGACAAAUGCUAAAUUAGCUUCAGGGUUGAAAAAACGGUAUAAAUCACGAUAUAUUGUAUUGCAAUACUCACUGUAUUCCAGAAAUGUAGAAACAAAUCACAAAAAUAUUGUAUCAUGGCUGAAGUAUCAUGAUAAUAUUGUAUCGUGGCCCAAGUAUCGCAAUAAUAUCGUAUCAUGGCUGAAGUAUCGUGAUAAUAGUGUAUCGUAGCCCAAGUAUUGCAAUAAUAUCGUAUCAUUGCUGAAGUAUCAUGAUAAUAGUGCAUUGUGAUAAUAUUGUAUCAUGGCUCAAGAAUCGUGAUAACAGUGUAUCGUGGCCAAGUAUUGCAAUGAUAUCGUAUCACUGCUGAAGUAUCAUGAUCAUAGUGUAUCAUAAUAAUAUCGUAUCGCGGCCCAAGUAUUGCAAUAAUAUUGUACCAUGGGUCAAGUAUCGUGACAAUAGUGUAUCAUGGCCCAAGAAUGGCAAUAAUUUCAUAUCAUAGCUGAAGUAUCGUGAUAAUAGUGUAUCAUGAUAAUAUUGUAUCAUAGCUGAAGUAUCGUGAUAAUAGUGUAUCAUGAUAAUAUUGUAUCAUGGCUGAAGUAUUGUGAUAAUUGUGUAUCGUGAUAAUAUUGUAUUGUGGCCCAAGUAUCGCAAUAAUAUCUUAUCAUGGCUCAAGAAUCAUCAUAAUAUUGUAUCCUGGGGCCACUGGUGAUUCCCACUCCUAGACCUUAGGCAAUAGUCCAAUGCAGAAGCUCUAGUGUUAGGCUACAGAAACACUUCUUGGCUACAGGUUGUGCUGUGACAAACAGCAACUGUCUUUAGCUUUGUGGUGCCAGAAAUCUAGUCCUGAAUGCCAAGACUUCAGGUCAUUUUUCCUGGAAAUUUGAACCUUUAUUCGAACUCCAGGGGGAAAAUUCAUAUCAGAAAGGAAAUGAGCCAUUUAAACUCAUAGGAAUCCAGCAGAUCAACUAUUAUAACAUUGUUUAAAACAUAUUGAUGCAUGACGAUGAAAAAAGUUGCUGGACUCAGAGCAGCCCAUCAUCUGUGCUACUUUAAUGGCAUUUAAAUCGGACAUCUGGCUCAGUCCAAUAAGGUUAAUAUAGUUUAAAGCACUUCAAAUAGUUCCAUAUAUUCAAAGGGGGUGGUGAACAGAUUUCAAAGGUUAAACUCUUUGUUAAAAAAGACCCACACGUCCUCGGUGAACAGGGUAGAUUUUAAAAGAGGCAAAAUUUAAGAUAUAACUUCAAACACAAAAGCAGAAACUCAGAGAAGUCCCACUUGCAGCUGACACGCUCCCUUGAACUCGCUGUGGGUUGUUUUUUCAGGACCCAGCUGCAGUCCUUUGCAGAGAGGACUGAACCUGAGAGACAUGCUGCUGGAGCUUUGACUUCUCUGUGAAGCUCCUUGCAGCAGGUUUAAAGAGGCAGCUGGUGUCUCGGCGUGUGUCGAGUCAGGUCAGUUUUCUUUCCCUCUGCAGCUGAGGGAAUAUCAGAGAGCGGGUUCAGAAAUACCUGCUGAAUCAUUUGCAUUGACACAAUAGUUUUAUCUUCAGGAGGUGCUCAGGAAAAUCAAAUUUACAGAGGCGGAAACAUGCAGAAGAUGGAGAAGAGACGACAAAGAAGGGGGGAGGUAAAAAAGAGGAUCAAGAAAGAGUAAAAGAAACAGCUCAAAGAAGAGGACAGAGGAAAGCAAGAAAAGAGAAAGGAGACUGAGGAAAAAGAGUACAAAGUGGAGAGACGGAAAGAGACAGUGAGAGGGACAGAUAGAAAGAAAAAAGUAAAUCAGAAAAAGGAGAAGAAAGAAAAAGACAAAGUCAAGAUAGAGUGAAAAAGAACAAAGAAAAGAAAUCGAAAAAAAUGAAGAACAUGGACAAAUAAGUAAAGAGAGAGAAAAAGUCACAAAUUGAGAGAGAAAGAAAAAAGAUGAAAGAAAGAAAAAAAGGAAGAAAAAGACAAAAGAAAGAGAAAGAAAGAAAAAAGGGACGAGAUUGAAAAGACAGGGAAUGAAAGGACAGGGGAGAAAAAAGGGGGGAAAAGAGAAUAAAAGGGCAGAGAGAUGACAGGAGAUAUGAAGGCUUCUCAAAAAGCAUAGUAAAAAAGAAACACGACGAAUUGACAAAGAGAAGAAAAGAAGGAAAAAGGGAAAAGCAAAGAAAAGAAAAAGAGAGAAGUGAAGGAAAGAAAGAGGAAAAGGAUGGAGGGGGAAGAUUGAAGAAGGAAAUGAAUAAAAAAAAACAAAAAGAACAUGGAGAAAGAAAGAAAGAGAGAGAAGUCUCAAAUCAAGAGAGAAAGAUAGAAAGAAAAACAAGGAAAAGACAAAGAGAGGAAAAGGGGGAAUAAAGGAAAAGUGAAGAAAAGAAAGAGAGAAGCAAAGAAAAGAAUGAGGAAAAGGAUGGAGGGGAAGAUUGAGGGAUACAUAAGUAAAGAAAGACAAAAAGCAUGGUAGAAAGUAAACAAAAGAGGAGGUUUUUUUCUGACCCUGAUGCCUCUUGUCUACAGUGUCUAAUACUGGGUUGAAGUUCUCCUAUGAUCCCCUUUCAGAGCUGCUCUCAGAGGCGGGUCCGUGUUUCAGGGUGCGGUGUUCGAGCAAAAAAGAAUGAGGAUAAGGCAUUUCUUUGAGUAAAAUACUUUCUCACUUGUGGCAUUUACAGUCGGCUUUGUCUUACUCAUUUAAAAUACAUUUUUGUUGACGCCAAGUUUCUGUUUUUUUUUUUCUCAGAUCCUCAUCCUAUGGCUCAAAGCCCCCCGAGGGAGAGUUUCGUGUAAUUACCA